Long non-coding RNA from Mesocricetus auratus (golden hamster), 1543 nucleotides. RefSeq lists it as uncharacterized. The transcript has 2 exons. The record is from RefSeq and is a predicted model, not a curated record. Lineage: Eukaryota; Metazoa; Chordata; Mammalia; Rodentia; Cricetidae.
ACUCGGGAGGCACAGGCAGGAGGAUCUCUGUGAGUUUGGGGCCAGCCUGGUCUAAAAGAGCGAGUUUCGGGACAACCUGAGCUACACGGAGAAACAACAAAUUUCUUUGAAACUCUCAUAAAGGUGUCCUCGAGCUUCCUUUGGAGUCCAUUCUCAUGCUCUUUGAAUAAUGAGACGAUGAACCCCAAGAGGAGGACCCUGACUUCUCCAGUAAUUCGUGACCUCUCUGGUGGGACUCCUCAGUAAUACAAGAGCCUAGUGGAGCUUUUUUUUUUUUUUCUUUCCUGGCUGCCUAUUGGCCACCUGGGCCUCCAGGUAGCCAUCCGUCCUUGCUUCUCAAAGCUGCCUUCAGAAAGCCAAGCAACCACUGUCUCCAUCCAUUAAUGGAGCCCCGUUUUGGAAAAUACGUGAAACCCACAGGAUUCUGUCCUCCCUUGGUUUAACUCAAGCUGCCCAGUCCUGACCCUCAAAGGGAUGAAAAGCCACCCUGCCCUGGUGUGGGUGAUCAACUGAGCCAUUUGCAUCUGGAAGUUUCUGUCUGUCCCCAUGCUUAACCCAGCCCCCUAGCAGUGUUGCCCAGAAGAGGGCAAACAGUUUCGCUUCCUCUGGAGGAGAUGUGAAAAAAAAUAAAGACGGGCGGCCAAAGCAGGAAGAGGAAGGGAGGGUGCCCAUAUUUAUAGAGAAACCCCAGUUGCCGGACCAGAGUGCCACGUGUGGGAGCUGCUCACACACUUAUGCACAUGGCUAAGAGGAGCCAAGCCCUGCCCAAGAGCUUGUGGGAAAAGACUGGAGGGCAGCACUAGGGGGUGUCCUGGGCUACACAAUCCCUCCACACACUACCCUGCAAUAAAGGACACCAAGAAGAGGACCAAUGACCAGCCGAGUCGUCGCCACCUCUACCAUCCAUACCCACCGUCCCCCGUGUUGGACACCCAGCCACUAAGCCCAAGGACGCCCGAUUCCGGGAGAUCCAGGGAGCACACAGUGGCCCAGCAGAGAUGAUUUCAAAGUGAGUGACUGACAUCUGGAGACUUUCGAAACUCCGGGACAGAAGGGACAGAACCAACCAAACCCCUGACUCCAGAGGAGGAGUAGGAUUUCUAACCCAGUCAGGGUUUGCGCUCUCUCUCUCUCUCUCUCUCUCUCUCUCUCUCUCUCUCUCUCUCUCUCUCUCUCUCUCCAUGCUCUCCAGGAGUCCCUGCAUACAGGGUGACACUGGGACAGUGUGGAGGAAGUGGCGGCCACCAUUUGAUGCAGAGGACUAAGUUACUCCCUACAGUCAGCUACCAGGGACCUGGGAAGCGCGGGUGUCAGUCCAGCCCCAGGAAAACCUUUAGGCUUUCCCAUUCUUCUUCACACAACGGGACAGGUCCACCACAUUCUCAGCAAGCAAACACCAGAGGAACACCUGGUGGGAGAGGAAGAGACGGGAGCCCAGGCUGUCAGCCCCCAAGCCUCACUUUGGGUGGCACCGGGAGAUGAGCCGUGUAGGAGACAAGAGCGAACCCUCUGCUAAGAUUUAUUUUUAAAAAAAUGGUUUCUU